This 91-nucleotide transfer RNA is filed under the name Candidatus Nanopelagicaceae bacterium. RNAcentral describes it as "tRNA-Ser". It matches the Rfam family "tRNA". Rfam says of the family: Transfer RNA (tRNA) molecules are approximately 80 nucleotides in length. Their secondary structure includes four short double-helical elements and three loops (D, anti-codon, and T loops). Further hydrogen bonds mediate the characteristic L-shaped molecular structure. tRNAs have two regions of fundamental functional importance: the anti-codon, which is responsible for specific mRNA codon recognition, and the 3' end, to which the tRNAs corresponding amino acid is attached (by aminoacyl-tRNA synthetases). tRNAs cope with the degeneracy of the genetic code in two manners: having more than one tRNA (with a specific anti-codon) for a particular amino acid; and 'wobble' base-pairing, i.e. permitting non-standard base-pairing at the 3rd anti-codon position. Lineage: Bacteria; Bacillati; Actinomycetota; Actinomycetes; Candidatus Nanopelagicales; Candidatus Nanopelagicaceae. The record is from RNAcentral. RNAcentral also lists the same sequence under 2 other names.
GGAGACGUCGCAUAGCCCGGUCGAGUGCGCCUCACUGCUAACGAGGUAAGGGGUUAAACCCUUCAGGAGUUCAAAUCUCCUCGUCUCCGCC